Molecule: long non-coding RNA, 455 nt
Filed under: Numida meleagris (helmeted guineafowl)
Lineage: Eukaryota; Metazoa; Chordata; Aves; Galliformes; Numididae
Description: lncRNA (ENSNMEG00000013517.1)
Source: RNAcentral
UUUAUAUUUCAUUUCUUUUCCAGAAACAAGACUCACCUGCAGUUUCUGUACCACAGUCACCACAGUCUGUAUCCACAACAUCAAACAAAAAUUGGCCUUUAUUUCUCUGUUGCUGAUGUAUAUGGAGAGGCUCUCAUGGACUUCAAAGGAAUUAGAAUUUGGGCCUUUUGAAAGUGUGUCUUCAGUAAUGACCUUUUCCUACAGCCUGAAGACACAGUGAAUGGUUCCUGGUUUCUUUCCUUCCACAUGUCCCAAAUCAGUGUUUGAAUGAGCCUGAACGAUGAUGAAAUGCCUCCCAGGAGAGUCGGCAGCUUCCCGAAGAUUGAAGAGUUCAGUCGGAAGAAUACUGUGGGAGAGAACACAGGACAAAUUUUCAGCUACUGAUCUUUGACAUCAACAAGUUUGUAAUGCAUAUGAAUCUUCAUCACUCAAGGUGAAAGCAGCAUCUAAAAAAG